Tachysurus vachellii is the source of this 2266-nucleotide RNA transcript. It is a transcript of the gene named spindle and centriole associated protein 1, with no coding region annotated. NCBI's taxonomy places the organism in Eukaryota, Metazoa, Chordata, Actinopteri, Siluriformes, Bagridae. The transcript has 18 exons. The record is from RefSeq and is a predicted model, not a curated record.
CGAAAAAUCUGCGGCGUUUUUCACCAUCAGGUCAUAGCAACAAAACCCAAACGGCUGUUUUUUUUUUUAUAUCCUGAGCGGGAUGUCGUUUGUACGGAUUAACCGAAGGCCAAUGCGAACGAAGAAAGUGUCAGUGCCCAAGAAAGAAUGGGUGAGCACAGUUAAUGAUCUGUCAGUACACAAGUCUACGUCUGAGGAACUGUCCAGGCGUCAUGACAUACACCGAUCUCGGAACAGAGCUGCUGCACAGUGGGAGCUGAAGAGGAGAAAGCCCCAGAACACCAGCCCUCCUGGACUCCACCAGACCAGACUGAGGUUAUUCAGAGAGAUGUUCUCAGAUCAUUGUGAGCUGCAGGAUGUUCUUGCACGGUCUGACCGAACACUGGCGUUGGUGAAAGAUCUGUUCGGUGAUGCACCUCGCAGACAGAAAGGUUUUCCAAGUGUUACCGUGGCACCUGACUGCGAGUCAGACUCUGAACUUCCUGUGCUGCAGAAACCGGAUCCACCAACACAUCUGUCACUGCUCAGCCAGUCCAUGAUGGAUCAACAGGCUUUAAAUGAAGUGGAUGAUUCUGCAGCGGAGCAUGGAUACGAUCUUCAGGAUGUCUCGGUCAGCUUCGACAGUGAAAUGUGCAGGCCAAAGAGAAAAACAUGUAAAGUAAAGCCUCCUGUUUGGAGAACAACUCAGCAACCACAGCAGCAGAACGUGCCUCAGACUCCCUGUAAUACAAGUUCAGAGGAUCAUGCAGCUUUGAACGCAACUGUGGCUGUGCAGCGUGUAAAGUCGAGACAGUCUCAGUCAGAAGCAGAUCAAUCCACAGCUCUCAUCAAUCAGGUCCUCAAUCCUGAACCGUCUCCUUCUCAUUCUGGUGGUAAGAGCAGGUCUCUCAGAACCACUAGAGGGCACUCUCCUGAAGCCUCAGGGUUUAGCUGUCAGAGUGCUAACCAGUCAAGCCUGGAGCUGCUGCAGGACAUGCUGGCUCAGGUGGAGACUGAACUAGACUACUUGGAGCCGAAGGAUCUUCUUGGACCCUCAGAGCAAACCGAGCCUCAGCAUGGCCGUGGCCUUACCGGUUUCUCUGUGUCUCUUGUUGGUACACUUGGGCGCAUCGUCAGUCAUCUGAGAAAGAGGGACGAGGAGGCGCAUGUAAGGCGGAGGAUGGAAGAGGAAAUGAAGGAGCAGAGAAACCUGAUUGAUGCCCUCACAGCAGAAUGUCUCACACUGAGAGAAGAAAGUGCUGCCCUAAAGGCGAAUGUGCAGGAGCAGAUAUCUGAACUGGAACAACGGCUGGACAUGGUGAUCCUUGCAAUGGGAGAGCUGGGAAAAGACAGAGACACAGAGGGCGAAGAGGAACAAGCACCAAGUCGAGGCCUCCAGCCUGUACCUGCUGAGAGAGACCAACAGGAGGCAGCAUCUGUCAGUCCUGCUGUUCUCCUCUCUCCUCCACACCAGAGAGACAGCAGAGCGCCGCCGACAGCACGUGCCCGAUCUCUGCACUUCGAGGAGUCUCGCACACCAGGCAGCGGCUCGCCAGGAGAGUCGGAUAUCUCACGCACUCCGUCCUCAUUUGCUAGCCUGCCCGAGAGAGUUCUACCCCAUCCUGCCCUGCUGCUGAACCAGCUAUCCCAGGAUGCUAUGCUACAACAGAUAGCGGAGUUAACCCGUCAAAACGCAAUGAUCCAGGAUCAGCUGGGGCACAGCCACGCCUCUCCUACUCCGUGUUCAGACAGAGGUGUAUCGCCCACCGCCGAACCACGGCCAACACGACAGGUGACAUUGCUGAGGACUGUAAACUUUCAUUCAUUCAUCUUCUACUGCUUAUCCGAACUACCUCGGGUCACGGGGAGCCUCUCAGGCAUCAUCGGGCAUCAAGUGUGUGGGUGUGGAAGGUUCAUCAGGCAGGCUCCUGGAGGACAGACUUCAGGAACUGAACAGACAGAAUGCAGCAGCCAGGACAAAACUGCUGGAGCUUAUCGAGCAGCAGAGACCGAGCACAUCUCACAGCACCUCUCCAUCCAUCUCCCCCAUAUCCCUACACUCCACCAGUCCUCACACAGUUAUUGGAAGGCAGACUCCUGAAGUGUGCGUGUCCGUACCUGAAAAAGCUCAUCCGUCUCACUCCAGGACAAACAGCAGAAGGUCAGUCGAAGCGGUUUCUCCACAAAAUGUAGAGGGAAGACAAAAGCAGUCCAAUACACAGGUGGAUAAACUGAAAGGAGAAGGCUGGUUUGCUCUGUCUGCUCAUGUCUGAAAGCUCGACCGACC